Molecule: ribosomal RNA, 497 nt
Filed under: uncultured bacterium
Lineage: Bacteria
Description: partial 16S ribosomal RNA
Rfam family: Bacterial small subunit ribosomal RNA
Source: RNAcentral
GACGAACGCUGGCGGCGUGCCUAAUACAUGCAAGUAGAACGCUGAAGAGAGGAGCUUGCUCUUCUUGGAUGAGUUGCGAACGGGUGAGUAACGCGUAGGUAACCUGCCUGGUAGCGGGGGAUAACUAUUGGAAACGAUAGCUAAUACCGCAUAAAAUUGAUUAUUGCAUGAUAAUUAAUUGAAAGAUGCAACUGCAUCACUACCAGAUGGACCUGCGUUGUAUUAGCUAGUUGGUGAGGUAACGGCUCACCAAGGCGACGAUACAUAGCCGACCUGAGAGGGUGAUCGGCCACACUGGGACUGAGACACGGCCCAGACUCCUACGGGAGGCAGCAGUAGGGAAUCUUCGGCAAUGGGGGGAACCCUGACCGAGCAACGCCGCGUGAGUGAAGAAGGUUUUCGGAUCGUAAAGCUCUGUUGUAAGAGAAGAACGGGUGUGAGAGUGGAAAGUUCACGCUGUGACGGUAUCUUACCAGAAAGGGACGGCUAACUACGUG